CGUAAUUCCAGCUCGAAUAGCGUAUGUUAAAUUUGCUGCGGUUAAAAAGCUCGUAGUUGGGAGUCAGGAGAUGAACUGUGCGCUGUCAUGUCACAAAAUGACGUGUAUAGCAUUGCACCAGAUUCACUUCUUUAACAUCGCUGCUCCUGCGUCGUCAAAGACCCAAUUAAGUUUGGGAGGCGCAUUUAAAAGGGAAGGCGAGUAACUACUUUGAGAAAAUUAGCGUGCUUAACGCAAGCGUCUUGCUUGAAUACUGUUGCAUGGAAUAAUGAGAUAGGACCUUGGUUCUGUUUCGUUGGUUUCCGGAAGCCGAGGUAAUGAUUGAUAGGGAUAAACGUGGGCAUUCGUAUUGUGGUGUUAGAGGUGAAAUUCGAUGAUCACCGCAAGACGUACAACUGCGAAAGCAUUUGCCAAGAAUGUUUUCAUUAAUCAAGAACGAAAGUUAGAGUUUCGAAGACGAUUAGAUACCGUCCUAGUUCUAACUAUAAACUAUGCCAACUGGGCAUCUGGCGCUUGCAACUUAAAAGCAUCGCCAGGCACCCCGCGGGAAACCAAAGUUAUUGGGUUCCGGGGGGAGUAUGGUUGCAAAAUCGAAACUUAAAGGAAUUGACGGAGGGGCACACCAGAAGUGGAGCCUGCGGCUUAAUUUGC
This 651-nucleotide ribosomal RNA is filed under the name Neoechinorhynchus agilis. Its description in RNAcentral is "SSU rRNA". It matches the Rfam family "Eukaryotic small subunit ribosomal RNA", at positions 578 to 1198 of the family's 1831-position model. The record is from RNAcentral. Lineage: Eukaryota; Metazoa; Acanthocephala; Eoacanthocephala; Neoechinorhynchida; Neoechinorhynchidae.